RNAcentral lists this transfer RNA (78 nucleotides) under Pseudomonas chlororaphis subsp. aureofaciens 30-84. RNAcentral describes it as "tRNA-Phe". It matches the Rfam family "tRNA". Rfam says of the family: Transfer RNA (tRNA) molecules are approximately 80 nucleotides in length. Lineage: Bacteria; Pseudomonadati; Pseudomonadota; Gammaproteobacteria; Pseudomonadales; Pseudomonadaceae. The record is from RNAcentral.
UGCCCAGAUAGCUCAGUCGGUAGAGCAGGGGAUUGAAAAUCCCCGUGUCGGCGGUUCGAUUCCGUCUCUGGGCACCAC